UGUCAUGUAUGCAUGAUACAGUGCUAGAGUUAGAAUUUCAGGGCAUGAAAAAGCAAUUUACUAUGCUUCAGCGCGUGCUUGAUGCAUCCCUUGGUUCUUGGAGGAACAUGUGCUAUUCCUGGUGCUUUUGGUUGUGGAAAAACUGUUAUUAAUCAGGCACUUUCCAAGUACUCCAGUUCUGAAGCUGUUGUUUAUGUGAGAUGUGGUGAAAGAACAAAUGAGAUGGCUGGGGUUCUCAUGGACUUGCCCCAAUUGACAAUGACGUUGCCCAACGGACGUGAAGAGUUUGUCAUGAAGAGAACAACAUCGGUUUCUAACGCGUCUAACAUGCCCGUCGCUGCUCGUGAAGCCUCCAUUUAUACAGGUAAAGGUGUAAUGCCUUGAUAGCCGUGGAAGUAAAGGGAAUUUAUUGAUCAAGCUGGCUCAUUAUAUUAGGGUUGUCUUGAUCUUGCUUACUCAAGUGCUUCACCAGUAGAGCUACACAACAUGUGCGGUGUGCCAAGCUGUGCUUUCAAGUUGUGUCCUCGGCCCUCCCCGUCGUAAUGCUCGUCUAGCAUGAAGCUUGAAAGUUGAUCCAAACCAACACCAUGUAUUCUUAUGGAUGUAUGAGUCAACUCAUUGUAGGUGGAGCUUUUCUCUUGCGCACAACUUACUUUAUUUUAUGCUUUAUCAGUGUAAUGUCCAGUUUCAUUUGCAGGUAUACCAUUACUCUUCUCAUGGUAUUGCAGAUGCAUCAUGUGUAGCUUUUCAGCCUUGCAAAUUUGAGGUUUAACUUA
This is a non-coding RNA of Triticum urartu, 776 nucleotides long. Lineage: Eukaryota; Viridiplantae; Streptophyta; Magnoliopsida; Poales; Poaceae. The record is from RefSeq and is a predicted model, not a curated record.